GAGGGGAGGUGGAUCCUGGGCUGUGUCCCGGCGCCCUGUGCUCCUGGGCCUGCGCUGUCGGAUUGCGCUCCCGGCUGCGCAGCACCUU
Molecule: non-coding RNA, 88 nt
Organism: Canis lupus familiaris (dog)
Lineage: Eukaryota; Metazoa; Chordata; Mammalia; Carnivora; Canidae
Source: Rfam